GCUUGCUGCAUCACUGCCUCAUUUCACACACACACACACCCACACACCCACACCCACAUACACACCUACACAGACGCAAGCAAAACACAACACACGGAAUUCAUGCUGAAGAAGGUGCUGAAGAUCAAAGGUGUUGAGAGCCGCACGGCACUCGUCGAGUUUGCCGUCAACAAGCGCGUCAAGUACCUCGAGUACUUGAAGGAGCUGCACAGCGAGGAGGGGACGCUGUGGAUGAAUACUGUGCACCUCGAUCUUCAUGAGAUAGGCAAAUACUUUAACAUCGCCGAUGCCUGCCUCCCGACCGAUCGAGACGGCGUCAGCAAAGAGGGGCUCAUUCAGCUGCCUGCUGAGAAGCCAGUGGCAGUUGCGGCAAGUGCGACAGGGGCGCUGGCGUCUUCGAGCAGCAGUGCCUCGGCCGAGCCUGGUGCGACGGGGGCCGACUUCAUCAACGUCUCCAUCGCCAACGCCCCAGCGGCGAUUCGGCAGCGCAGCAGCUCGGCGGCGGACUGGGCGCGGUACUACCUUCCCUGCUACGCCGCGCUUGCCAUUUCGCUCUCUGAGAUACUUGUCAUCCCUAUUGGCGGGGAGGAGUUUGUGGAGUGCUUUUACGGGCUGCUGCUGGAGCUAGAGGUUGCGUACGCAAGCGGGGCCGCCUCGAAGGCGCUGGCCCAGCGCAACCUCCGGCAGUUCCGCCAGCACGUGUCGCCAGGUCUCAAGUCACUCUUGCAGACAUCGACGGACGCAGAGACACUUGAUGCGACGCCGGCGUUUCCGGUGGUGACCACAUCAUCCGACCUCGACGCGCAGAUCAAGUAUCUUUUUCUGAACCAGCGACACCUCGAGUACAUGGCAGCUUCUCCGUCAUAUGACGCUGUUAUUCCUGCACUGUGCUCCGUCCUCAUGCUCGCCUACCGCAAACUCUGCGACUAUGAGCUGAUGAGAGAGGACGAGUGCGUGCGCCGCAUCCUCUCCAUCGACAAGCGACUUGAGCGACUCUUCUUCGCCCACGUGAGCCAUGAGGUGGGCAAAAUAGCAAAACAGAAACUUCUGCGCGAGGCGUACAUCCUCUCUACCGGCGCCUUGUUUGCGGACCUCGUCGAUGCAUCGGGACGCAGUGGCGCCAGCGGUGCUUCUGGCAUCGAUGGCGGAGCGGACUUUGUUGCGGACUUGCUCAUCCAGCAGCAGCAGCGCCGUGGGUCGUCGAGUCCGACAACCGCUGAGAAGAAAGGGUUCGACUCCUCUGACGAUGACGAGAACGAUGGAACCGUCUGGUUUGGCCCGGAAGAGGACAGGUAAGGAAUUUGUUCGUGCGGUGAUGGAACCUCUGCUGCCUGCAAAGACAUCGCCUCGUGUCUGCGCGCGCGAGAAGCUGCUUUUCAGAUUGCGCGCACAUGCACGAGUG
RNAcentral lists this unclassified non-coding RNA (1402 nucleotides) under Leishmania donovani. RNAcentral's name for it is "gene:LdHU3.02.0100(CDS-product:hypothetical_prote in_conserved)". The record is from RNAcentral. Lineage: Eukaryota; Euglenozoa; Kinetoplastea; Trypanosomatida; Trypanosomatidae.